This is a long non-coding RNA of Leopardus geoffroyi (Geoffroy's cat), 1951 nucleotides long. RefSeq lists it as uncharacterized. Lineage: Eukaryota; Metazoa; Chordata; Mammalia; Carnivora; Felidae. The record is from RefSeq and is a predicted model, not a curated record. The transcript has 4 exons.
AGACACCACUGAGAUCGUGACACAGGCCAGUGCACUUCAGGAAAUUCAAACUGACAGGAGCCCCUGCCUUCUGCCGUUGCAAAAGUGGCUUGCUGUAGCAAGACGCCAGCUCAGAACCACGGGCUGGCUGCAACUAAAAGUUCUUGACCCUCCCUCCGGAGAAGGGAGUGCCUGGGGGGCUGAAAGCUUUGGCGGGGUUGAGAUAAACACUCAGGUUAAGGCAUUUUUCAUCUGUUUAACCAGAUCUCAUUAUAUUGUCAAACAAGACUGCAGCGCUCACAAGAAACAGCUAUGGUAUUCUUGUUGAGAGGUGGGACGAGAAGGAAGAAUUUAUUUUUUCCACUAAGGUUAAUUCCUCCGAUGCUGGGAGGCCAGGCAAAGUUUUUACUGGGAUGGAAAUGAAGGCUGAAGAGGUGAGCUCUUGGAGUCAUUGAAGGGAAGCCUGAUGGCACUUCAUAUGGCCCUGCCUUGCCAGGUGGGGAAGAAAGAGAACGUUAGUAAUAAUCUUGCCUACAUCCUAGGCAGAGAACUUCCCCCUUUUUCAGGGCACCCACAUAAGUCAUCCCUAAUUGCAUAUUCCCUUGCUAUGUCAACUCUCCUUCGUUGACUCCAGGAAAAUGCCACCUUGCCUUUUUUUUCCUUUUUUUAAAAUAACUUCUCUUACCUUUUCCAAGUUGAGUUAAAUGUAACCAUUGCUUGGUCCUGAUGAUGCUCAAGUUAACUACAUGACCGUGCUACCCAGCCAUGAGUCCAGAUUGUGAAGACCUAGUGAUGAUCCAUGUGAAAAUACUUACAGUUAGUCCUAAAACGUGGUCUCACUGAAACAGACCAUCUGCAUUUUAGAAAAUCCAAAGCAAAUGUCUGUCAUUGCUUUGGAGCACGGAAUGUAAUGCAUCGUCUGUCUGUACCGCAAUUCAUCCAUUCACCUACUGAAGGGUGUCUUCGUUGCUUCCCAAAUCAUCCCCUUGGUUGCUACUCUAAACAUCUGGGCAGGUUGUUUUCAACUCCUUUGGGUAAACACCAAAGAGAACAAUCGCUGGACUGCAUGUGUUCGAGGGGCUCGCUGAUGAAUGUUCUGGAGUAGCCCUGACCCUGCUUAACAUGAGAUGUUCUUGUGAAGUUCCUUAAGGACACCAUGGUCUGCUCAUCUUUCUACUUCCAGAUCUGGAAUAGUUGAGACCAAACACUUCUUCACAAGCUUCCUGUUGCCAUCAGAACCGACACAUCCUGCAGAGGCUUCCGGCUCAUGGAUCAAGCGUGUGCAACAGGGGAGUCAAGUUGCAUUGAAUGCUUCCCAGAGGAGUUCUUUCUUCCUCCCUUUUUCUUCCCUUGCUGGCUUCCUUCUUGUCCCUUAUCUCUGCACCCUUCCCCACUUGCCCCAAAUCCUCAGACUUCCUCUGUAGAUGCCAAGUGAUGAUUUCAGAGACUGUGAGUCCAAGGGCCUCUAUUUGGGCAGGACCCUUAUGGGUCUCCUUCAGCUCUGGAUAAAGCAGGUAUUCUGACCCAGUCACACAGGCAGGAUAAAUCGGUAGGUAAUUAAAGAGCUCCCAAAUCUCCCUUCUGUCCUAUGAAUACUUCCCAUGGGGGAGAGGGAUCUCCAUUUCAUAACCCUCACUCCCUGAGAUCAGGGCAAUGAAGACUGCUGGAGUUCCAAUGCUAAAUGAGAGGAGAUAAACAUUACUCACUGAUACGGCAGUAUGCGUUAGCCUCUCGGCUACCCCUGCCUCCCAGGGGUUCUACAGGUAGGAGAUCCCAAACAUGUGACUUUUACAGGAGCUAAGGAACCUGGAGAGUAGGGAAUAUUACCUGAAGGACAGAAGUGUAUGCCACGGUAGAGAGUCUCUGUUGACAUGGGCUUAGAGCAUCUGAAAAUGGAGGCAAACCGGUUUCCUCUCUCCCUGCUUCCUUCCUCCCUCCCUCCCUCCCUUCCUUCCCUCCCUCCUUCCUUCCU